GUGAGUAGUUCAGAGUUUGAUCCUGGCUCAGGAUAAACGCUGGCGGCGCACAUAAGACAUGCAAGUCGAACGGGGACGGAGGCUUCGGCCAAAGUUCUAGCGGCGGACGGGUGAGUAACGCGUGAGCAACCUUUCCUCUACUGGGGAAUAACACCGGGAAACUGGUACUAAUACCGCAUGAGACCACAGUGCUGCAUGGCACAGGGGUCAAAGAUUUAUCGGUAGAGGGUGGGCUCGCGUCCGAUUAGGUAGUUGGUGAGGUAACGGCCCACCAAGCCGACGAUCGGUAGCCGACCUGAGAGGGUGAUCGGCCACAUUGGGACUGAGACACGGCCCAA
This 338-nucleotide ribosomal RNA is filed under the name uncultured bacterium. RNAcentral's name for it is "bacterial SSU rRNA". It matches the Rfam family "Bacterial small subunit ribosomal RNA", at positions 1 to 334 of the family's 1533-position model. The record is from RNAcentral.